GGGGGCCCCGGAUCCGGCGGGCGUGGAUGGCGGCGGCGGCGGGCGUGGAUGGCGGCGGCGGCGGCGGUGGAUGUACUUGAGGAACUCCAGUACGUGCGCGCCGCUGCACCGCGACAGCGACAGCGGCGGCCGGUGGUUGCGCAGGUACUGCCCGCCGCUUCUGGGAGUCGUACCGGCUCAGCGACGGCGACGAGCUCGACGGCGACGGCCCGCCUCCUCCCCCCACCGAGGAUCCGAGCGCCGCCGCGCCGGACGACGACGACCCGGCCCCUGACGCCCCGGCGCCUCCGGAG
This 293-nucleotide long non-coding RNA is filed under the name Setaria italica (foxtail millet). Its description in RNAcentral is "long non-coding RNA (SITA_LNC001302)". Lineage: Eukaryota; Viridiplantae; Streptophyta; Magnoliopsida; Poales; Poaceae. The record is from RNAcentral.